Molecule: ribosomal RNA, 900 nt
Filed under: Streptococcus pluranimalium
Lineage: Bacteria; Bacillati; Bacillota; Bacilli; Lactobacillales; Streptococcaceae
Description: bacterial SSU rRNA
Rfam family: Bacterial small subunit ribosomal RNA
Source: RNAcentral
ACGCAAUGUGAUUACUCCCGUACUUGCUACAUUUGAAUUGAUUGAGUCGCGAACGGGUGAGUAACGCGUAGGUAACCUACCUUAUAGCGGGGGAUAACUAUUGGAAACGAUAGCUAAUACCGCAUAAGAGUUGACAACACAUGUUGUUAAUUUAAAAGGAGCAAUUGCUUCACUAUGAGAUGGACCUGCGUUGUAUUAGCUAGUUGGUAAGGUAACGGCUUACCAAGGCUUCGAUACAUAGCCGACCUGAGAGGGUGAUCGGCCACACUGGGACUGAGACACGGCCCAGACUCCUACGGGAGGCAGCAGUAGGGAAUCUUCGGCAAUGGGGGGAACCCUGACCGAGCAACGCCGCGUGAGUGAAGAAGGUUUUCGGAUCGUAAAGCUCUGUUAUAAGCGAAGAACGGGAGUAAGAGUGGAAAGUUUACUCUGUGACGGUAGCUUAUCAGAAAGGGACGGCUAACUACGUGCCAGCAGCCGCGGUAAUACGUAGGUCCCGAGCGUUGUCCGGAUUUAUUGGGCGUAAAGCGAGCGCAGGUGGUUUAAUAAGUCUGAAGUUAAAGGCAUUGGCUCAACCAAUGUACGCUUUGGAAACUGUUAAACUUGAGUGCAGAAGGGGAGAGUGGAAUUCCAUGUGUAGCGGUGAAAUGCGUAGAUAUAUGGAGGAACACCGGUGGCGAAAGCGGCUCUCUGGUCUGUAACUGACACUGAAGCUCGAAAGCGUGAGUAGCGAACAGGAUUAGAUACCCUGGUAGUCCACGCCGUAAACGAUGAGUGCUAGGUGUUGGGUCCUUUCCGGGACUCAGUGCCGCAGCUAACGCAUUAAGCACUCCGCCUGGGGAGUACGACCGCAAGGUUGAGACUCAGAGGAAUUGACGGGCGCCCGCACAAGCGGUGGAG